UACAGAGGGUGCUAGCGUUGUUCGGAAUCAUUGGGCGUAAAGGGCGUGUAGGCGGUUUGUUAAGUCAUGUGUGAAAUCCCUCGGCUCAACCGGGGAACGACGCAUGAAACUGGCAAGCUAGAGUACCAAAGAGGGGGUGGAAUUCCCGGUGUAGCGGUGAAAUGCGUAGAUAUCGAGAGGAACACCAGUGGCGAAGGCGAGUCCCUGGACACUUCCUGACACUGAGGCACGAAAGCUAGGGGAGCAAACAGG
RNAcentral lists this ribosomal RNA (252 nucleotides) under uncultured bacterium. RNAcentral's name for it is "partial 16S ribosomal RNA". It matches the Rfam family "Bacterial small subunit ribosomal RNA", at positions 524 to 776 of the family's 1533-position model. The record is from RNAcentral.